RNAcentral lists this ribosomal RNA (508 nucleotides) under uncultured cyanobacterium. RNAcentral's name for it is "bacterial SSU rRNA". It matches the Rfam family "Bacterial small subunit ribosomal RNA", at positions 826 to 1334 of the family's 1533-position model. Lineage: Bacteria; Bacillati; Cyanobacteriota. The record is from RNAcentral.
CCUUAAUCGACCCGUGCAGUGCCGUAGCUAACGCGUUAAGUACCCCGCCUGGGGAGUACGCACGCAAGUGUGAAACUCAAAGGAAUUGACGGGGGCCCGCACAAGCGGUGGAGUAUGUGGUUUAAUUCGAUGCAACGCGAAGAACCUUACCAGGGCUUGACAUCCCGCGAACCUUGAUGAAAGUCGAGGGUGCCUUCGGGAGCGCGGAGACAGGUGGUGCAUGGCUGUCGUCAGCUCGUGUCGUGAGAUGUUGGGUUAAGUCCCGCAACGAGCGCAACCCACGUCCUUAGUUGCCAGCAUUAAGUUGGGCACUCUGGGGAGACUGCCGGUGACAAACCGGAGGAAGGUGUGGAUGACGUCAAGUCAUCAUGCCCCUUACGUCCUGGGCUACACACGUACUACAAUGCUAUGGACAGAGAGUUGCGAGCCCGCGAGGGUGAGCCAAUCUCAUAAACCAUGGCUCAGUUCAGAUUGCAGGCUGCAACUCGCCUGCAUGAAGGAGGAAUCG